UCCGGCGAAAAGCCGGCAGUCUCGUCUGAAAAAUCCAACAGACGAUGAGGGUUUCGCUCGUUUACCCACUUAAGGGUACAGCUCACGCCACGAGCUGACGACAGCCGUGCAACACCUGUCUUAUGGCUCCCUUGCGGGCACUUUCCUGUUUCCAGGAAAUUCCAUAGAUGUCAAACCCUGGUAAGGUUCUCCGGUUACCGUCGAAUUAAACCACAUGCUCCACCGCUUGUGCGAUCCCCCGUCAAUUCCUUUGAGUUUUAGUCUUGCGACCGUACUUCCCAGGCGGCACACUUAACGCGUUAGCUUCGCUACAAGAAGGGUCGAUACUUCUGAUAGCUAGUGUGCAUCGUUUACGGCGUGGACUA
RNAcentral lists this unclassified non-coding RNA (365 nucleotides) under uncultured bacterium. Its description in RNAcentral is "contains 16S-23S intergenic spacer region". The record is from RNAcentral.